GUGUGUGUGUGUGUGUGUGUGUGUGUGUGUAUAUAUAUAUAUAAUGUAGUGUGCAUUAUAUAAACACACUACACAAACACACUG
Pelobates cultripes (western spadefoot toad) is the source of this 84-nucleotide non-coding RNA. Lineage: Eukaryota; Metazoa; Chordata; Amphibia; Anura; Pelobatidae. The record is from the annotation of a GenBank genome assembly.